Molecule: ribosomal RNA, 264 nt
Filed under: uncultured bacterium
Lineage: Bacteria
Description: partial 16S ribosomal RNA
Rfam family: Bacterial small subunit ribosomal RNA
Source: RNAcentral
ACCGGCGCACGGGUGAGUAACACGUAUGCAACCUGGCCGUGACAGAUGGAUAACCGGGAGAAAUCCCGCCUAAUACAACAUAAUGCCGGGAGGGGACAUCCCCUGCCGGUCAAAGGGGGCGACCCCGGUCAUGGAUGGGCAUGCGGCGCAUUAGGUAGUUGGUGGGGCAACGGCCCACCAAGCCGACGAUGCGUAGGGGUUCUGAGAGGAAGGUCCCCCACAUUGGAACUGAGACACGGUCCAAACUCCUACGGAAGGCAGCAG